GACGAACGCUGGCGGCGUGCUUAGCACAUGCAAGUCGAACGGAAAGGCCCUGCUUUUGUGGGGUGCUCGAGUGGCGAACGGGUGAGUAACACGUGAGUAACCUGCCCUUGACUUUGGGAUAACUUCAGGAAACUGGGGCUAAUACCGGAUAGGAGCUCCUGCUGCAUGGUGGGGGUUGGAAAGUUUCGGCGGUUGGGGAUGGACUCGCGGCUUAUCAGCUUGUUGGUGGGGUAGUGGCUUACCAAGGCUUUGACGGGUAGCCGGCCUGAGAGGGUGACCGGCCACAUUGGGACUGAGAUACGGCCCAGACCCCUACGGGAGGCAGCAGUGGGGAAUAUUGCACAAUGGGCGGAAGCCUGAUGCAGCAACGCCGCGUGCGGGAUGACGGCCUUCGGGUUGUAAACCGCUUUCGCCUGUGACGAAGCGUGAGUGACGGUAAUGGGUAAAGAAGCACCGGCUAACUACGUG
This 468-nucleotide ribosomal RNA is filed under the name uncultured bacterium. RNAcentral describes it as "partial 16S ribosomal RNA". It matches the Rfam family "Bacterial small subunit ribosomal RNA", at positions 28 to 507 of the family's 1533-position model. The record is from RNAcentral.